Molecule: long non-coding RNA, 379 nt
Organism: Priapulus caudatus
Lineage: Eukaryota; Metazoa; Priapulida; Priapulimorpha; Priapulimorphida; Priapulidae
Exons: 2
Source: RefSeq, a predicted model, not a curated record
CGAAUAGGUUCCGAAGCCUGUUCCCACGCCGCUCUGCUGGCUACCUUGGUGGUAGAGGGCGACCAGCUCCUAAGAUUCCCUUCUUCGGGGGAAGGAACGGACAAGGACGGAUCGCGAGGGACUAUUACAACCCAGGAUUCUUCUAACAAGCUCAUUGUGAUGAUGCAAUAAUAUUAGUAUCGAAGCCGACGCAAUUAUGACAACAAUUAAAUUUAAAUUAUUCGAUGAAGAUGUAUUUGUAGAUAUAUUGUAUGUACUGCACGAUGUCUCUUUUGACAUAUAGGAAGCGUUAAUUCAUAACAGCUCAUUUAUAUACGAAUCACUUUAUGUGUACUCAUAUGAAAUUAAUUGAAAUAAAAAUCCGUGUAUAAAUAAUGAA